CUUCUUCUUUCUUUUUCUUCUUCUUCCCUUCUCCUCCCCGACGCCACACACAUCCUCUCCUCUGUUUCCCGCUGCAGCCCUAGCUACUACAGCUACCUCUCUCUCCUCUCCCUCUUCCCUCUCUUUUCCCUCUUCUUCUUUCCUUCCUUCUCCCUGCUUUUCUUCUUCUUCUCUUCUCCCUCUACUUCUCUUCUUCUUCUCC
RNAcentral lists this long non-coding RNA (202 nucleotides) under Musa acuminata (dwarf banana). Its description in RNAcentral is "long non-coding RNA (MACU_LNC009906)". Lineage: Eukaryota; Viridiplantae; Streptophyta; Magnoliopsida; Zingiberales; Musaceae. The record is from RNAcentral.